Molecule: long non-coding RNA, 1155 nt
Filed under: Coturnix japonica (Japanese quail)
Lineage: Eukaryota; Metazoa; Chordata; Aves; Galliformes; Phasianidae
Description: lncRNA (ENSCJPG00005013588.1)
Source: RNAcentral
GCAGUGUAAGGAUGCCUGCCUUUCUGAUCUGCACACUCUGCAUGCUCUGCAAGAAGGAAGUCUUCUUGAAACAUUCUCCAGCCCUUAAAAUAGAAGUUGGUAUGCCGUGUCUCACAGUUUGAAUUUAGGAUCAAAUCCAAAUGUUCUUUCAGUGUGAUCAAACCUCAAGUUUGGAGGAUGUCUGAGCCUUGAAUUUAGUUUGUUUCCAUUUUAGAAACUCUGCUUUCUGGUCUGCUUGUCUAGGACCACUUAAAAGUCUUCAAAUCAAAGCAGAUCUGUGGUUUUCUGUGCUUCCCUGCUGGGCUGCUUUGAUUUCUGAGCUUUGAGUUUACCAAAGAGGCCACUUUGCCUCCUUCUACAGUCAAGGCAUUGUCACCAGGAUGACAUGAAGUUUGGCAAUUUUGUUGAUGCUUUGGCCUUAAAUAUUUUAUUCAAGGCUUUUUGCUUUCUCCAAAAGCUUCUUUGCAAGUCUCAUGUUCUGUUAUGAUUGGAGUUCAUUCUGUAUUCUUAGUUUUCUCCAUUUCUUUCUCAUUUUUCUCUUUUAAUUCCAAAUAUAUCAUUAUUUUCUCUGAAUGUGUAGGGAUGCAGCACACAGCAUUUCAGCACAGAGGUAGUGCCUAUGGCAGCAUUGGGAAGAAUCCAUGAGACAGCAGUGUCAAACUCUCUGCACUGGCUUUCUGGCAAGGGAUCAUUCCUUGAGCACAUUUUUUCAUGGUAUUUUCAUCUGUAAUGCCUGCCUCAAGGCAAAGCAUUUUCUAUUUGGGCUGCAGGAGUGCGUGUUGAAGUGUUGGAAGAGGCAGGACAAGAAAGCUGCUAUGUUGCUUAGGUAGUUGUUCUUAGAAAAGCAUCGUUGGCAAACUAGCACAAUAAUUUUGCAAAAGAGAAAAAGAAACUUGCCCAGGAAACAGAAUUUUGCUGACAAGGCGUGAAGAAAUAUCUGCUUUUAUUUAACUCUGUUCUCUGGAGAGAUUCAGCAUUUUGCUAUGUAGCUCUUUUCAUACCAAGCUAACUUUUAAAGUAUAGACAGUUUCUCAGCCAACAUACUUUUUAAAGGUGCAAUACUGCUCUAUUUUCUGAAGCUGUUUGAAUCUUGUUUGACAUAUUGCAUUUGUUAUUGCUUCUGGCUCACUGUGAGGGGCUGGGCUUCAAGGUCUG